RNAcentral lists this ribosomal RNA (301 nucleotides) under uncultured bacterium. RNAcentral's name for it is "partial 16S ribosomal RNA". It matches the Rfam family "Bacterial small subunit ribosomal RNA", at positions 509 to 807 of the family's 1533-position model. The record is from RNAcentral.
CAGCAGCCGCGGGAAUACAGAGGGUGCAAUCGUUAAUCGGAAUUACUGUGCGUAAAGCGCGCGUAGGUGGUUUGUUAAGUUGGAUGUGAAAGCCCCGGGCUCAACCUGGGAACUGCAUCCAAAACUGGCAAGCUAGAGUACGGUAGAGGGUGGUGGAAUUUCCUGUGUAGCGGUGAAAUGCGUAGAUAUAGGAAUGAACACCAGUGGCGAAGGCGACCACCUGGACUGAUACUGACACUGAGGUGCGAAAGCGUGGGGAGCAAACAGGAUUAGAUACCCCGGUAGUCCCUGUCUCUUAUAC